UUCCUCCGGGGCGCAGCAGUGGGGAAUAUUGCACAAUGGGGGAAACCCUGAUGCAGCAACGCCGCGUGAGUGAAGAAGUAUUUCGGUAUGUAAAGCUCUAUCAGCAGGGAAGAAGAUGACGGUACCUGAGUAAGAAGCCCCGGCUAACUACGUGCCAGCAGCCGCGGUAAUACGUAGGGGGCAAGCGUUAUCCGGAUUUACUGGGUGUAAAGGGAGCGCAGACGGUGAGACAAGUCUGAAGAGAAAGCC
This 249-nucleotide ribosomal RNA is filed under the name uncultured bacterium. Its description in RNAcentral is "partial 16S ribosomal RNA". It matches the Rfam family "Bacterial small subunit ribosomal RNA", at positions 335 to 602 of the family's 1533-position model. The record is from RNAcentral.